UGCCCUAUGGUGUAAUGGCAACACUACAGGUUUUGGUUCUGUCAUUAGUGGUUCGAAUCCGCUUGGGGCAACAA
RNAcentral lists this transfer RNA (74 nucleotides) under Segatella copri. RNAcentral's name for it is "Prevotella copri tRNA-Gln". It matches the Rfam family "tRNA". From Rfam's summary of the family: Transfer RNA (tRNA) molecules are approximately 80 nucleotides in length. Their secondary structure includes four short double-helical elements and three loops (D, anti-codon, and T loops). Further hydrogen bonds mediate the characteristic L-shaped molecular structure. tRNAs have two regions of fundamental functional importance: the anti-codon, which is responsible for specific mRNA codon recognition, and the 3' end, to which the tRNAs corresponding amino acid is attached (by aminoacyl-tRNA synthetases). tRNAs cope with the degeneracy of the genetic code in two manners: having more than one tRNA (with a specific anti-codon) for a particular amino acid; and 'wobble' base-pairing, i.e. permitting non-standard base-pairing at the 3rd anti-codon position. The record is from RNAcentral. Lineage: Bacteria; Pseudomonadati; Bacteroidota; Bacteroidia; Bacteroidales; Prevotellaceae.